GUUUCUGUUUUCCUGGAAAUUAUCAAUAGGAAUUACAGAAUCAGAGGAAUCCAGUUCCUGAAAAUUAUUGUUAUAGGCUGCAACGAAUUUUCUCAAUUUUGCCUAUAUGUCACUUUCCACUUUCAAAGCCUUUAAAGAAACCCUAAAGUCCUGUAAAAACCUCUCAUCAUCAUCAUCAUCAUCAUUUCUUGUUACAGAUUUCAGAUUCACUUGCAGGAAAAGUUGAGCAUUGGAUCCAUUUCAAUUUCAAAUCUUGAAUUCUGCCUGUGCAGAAAAAGUAGAAACACAACCGUUAAAAGAUUUCUCCUUUUUUGUUUUUCCUUUUUACAUAGAAACAGAAUAUGGAAAUCAUUUGCUUGCCUUUCUUUCUUGCUGCUUCUGCCCAUUAAUGGGCUUUCAGUUGCUCUAUAUACUUCAAAUUUGGUUAUUUGUUUGAUUUUCCAGUGUUACAUCUGGGUGUAUUGAAGAGGCUUCAGCCUAUUCUUCUCAUAUUAGCUUUUCUCCCUAUUGGGUUGUGCUUUGAGGGUUAAUUUCUGUGCUGCACUCUGCCAGGGAACUGUAGCUGUGUUGUGCAUAGGAAGAAGUGUAGGUCGAUGGUGCCUGAAACUGAUAUUACAGCGCUAGAAGAAGCGCUUUAUGCUCAACAAAAGCUUCUACAAAAGCUUAAUACUGAGUUGGAUGUUGAAAGAGAGGCUGCAGCCACUGCAGCUAGUGAAGCAUUAUCCAUGAUUUUGCGUUUACAAGGAGAAAAGGCUUCACUGAAGAUGGAAGCAAGUCAAUAUAAGAGGAUGGCAGAAGAAAAGAUGUGUCAUGCUGAGGAGGCUCUGGCAAUUUUUGAAGAUUUAAUAUAUCAGAGAGAAAUGGAGAUUGCAUCUCUUGAGUUUCAAGUACAGGCUUAUAGGUACAGACUCCUAAGCAUGGGUUGUAAUGACUUGGGCGUCUAUGAAAUUAAAUUUCCAGAGAAUUUAUUAAUUCAGAGAAAUGAUAAUUUGUUAGGGGACAAGUGUGUCAGUAGCAAUGUGAGGAGACUCAACUCUCAGCCUCAAGCUAUGAUCAAAGAUCCCAAUCAUAAGAAAAGUGCUAUUGAAAGAAAAAGAUCUGUGACUGCUGUUCCAGAUUCAAUUGCAAGCCCUGUGGAAGAAAAUAUGAAUCAAGAAAUUGAUGAUUCAGGGAAGAAUCUAGGGAGUACUGCAACUGUGGACCUUAAUUCAUAUUGGGAGCAGAUCAAAAAGUUGGAUGAGCGAGUGAAAGAGAUUUCAGAGAGCAAAGAUUCUGUGAGAAACAAAUCAACGAUCUGGAAAGGCGGUACCUGGUCUCCAUCUUUAUUUUCACAAGUGAGCAUUGGCACUUCUAUUGAUCCUGUGACAGAAGUAAAUAUUAAUGUCUCAGAUCAAGAAAAUUCACAGGCAAAGGAGGCUACUGAUGAUCCUGCUUGCUCUUCAAGUGUUCAGGAUGUUUUCGAAGUCCCACAGACUACUCAGAGUCAAAAACCCUGUGAGCCCUGGAAGAAAGAAUAUUGUUCAUUGACUUUGGAUGUUGGAAACAGGCAUGGAAAGCCAGAUUCAGUCACUGAGGACACUCUUGAGUCACCUAAUAAACAUGAAACAGACAGGGUAAAGGCAAUAUUACUUUCUACAAACCAUGAGAGGAAAUUAACAAAACCAAGAAAUGCAUCAAGUCUUUCGCGCUGUGUUUCGCCUGUUUUCCAAGCAGUUAAUCUAUGUAAUUCUUCAGCUGAUUAUCAACAGCUGAGUUGGAGAAUUGAUAGACUUGAGAGAGCCAGGAAUAAUGCAAGGCAAGAAAUUAUCGCUGCAGGAGAAGAGGAGUUGAAUAUAUUGAAGGAGAUUCGUGACCAACUCAAAUCCAUAGAGUUUGAGAUGAAAAGCUGUAAAGCUAAGAAAUCCCUUUUUCCAAAUGAACCAUCUCUAGAUCCUCUCCAAGAGGCCAUGUUGUACUUUUGGAUGUAAACAAUUAUAUAAUCUCAGACAGCUGCGGUUAAUCGUCUGCAAACUUUGGAUAUGUCCAUGAACAGAACUGUGUAAGAGUAUCAUUUAACUUUGGAAUUGUGUAAAUUGAUAGUACGUACAUGGAUUAGAUUUUAUUUUCCCUAUGAAAUGGUAUAUUGUUACAGAAAUUUCAUUUUCUACAUUAGUUGGUAGAAUGAACAAGUGAGUUUUAUUUGGAUUGCUUCAGGAAAGCUUGCAUAUAUGUUUUUACUCAUCAAAUAUGGAUUGCCU
This 2237-nucleotide unclassified non-coding RNA is filed under the name Hevea brasiliensis (rubber tree). Lineage: Eukaryota; Viridiplantae; Streptophyta; Magnoliopsida; Malpighiales; Euphorbiaceae. The record is from RNAcentral.